GAUCAUGGCUCAGAGCGAACGCUGGCGGCAGGCUUAACACAUGCAAGUCGAACGGGCACUUCGGUGCUAGUGGCAGACGGGUGAGUAACACGUGGGAACGUACCUUUCGGUUCGGAAUAAUUCAGGGAAACUUGGACUAAUACCGGAUACGCCCUUUUGGGGAAAGAUUUAUCGCCGAUAGAUCGGCCCGCGUCUGAUUAGCUAGUUGGUGAGGUAAUGGCUCACCAAGGCGACGAUCAGUAGCUGGU
This 248-nucleotide ribosomal RNA is filed under the name uncultured bacterium. Its description in RNAcentral is "partial 16S ribosomal RNA". It matches the Rfam family "Bacterial small subunit ribosomal RNA", at positions 15 to 291 of the family's 1533-position model. The record is from RNAcentral.